GAAUUUUCCGCAAUGGGCGAAAGCCUGACGGAGCGACACCGCGUGGUGGAUGACACCCUUCGGGGCGUAAACACCUUUUGUGAGGGAAGAAGAUCUGACGGUACCUCACGAAUAAGGACCGGCUAAUUACGUGCCAGCAGCCGCGGUAAUACGUAAGGUCCAAGCGUUAACCGGAAUUAUUGGGCGUAAAGCGUCCGCAGGUGGUUUGUUAAGUGGAUUAUGAAAUACUGAGGCUCAACUUCAGUGCUGUAGUCCAAACUGGCAAACUAGAGGAAUGGAGAGGCAAGUGGAAUUGUGCAAGUAGGGGUAAAAUCCGUAGAUAUGCACAGGAACACCAAAAGCGAAGGCAUCUUGCUGGCCAUUUCCUGACACUCAGGGACGAAAGCGUGGGGAGCGAAAGGGAUUAGAUACCCCUGUAGUC
RNAcentral lists this ribosomal RNA (421 nucleotides) under uncultured cyanobacterium. Its description in RNAcentral is "bacterial SSU rRNA". It matches the Rfam family "Bacterial small subunit ribosomal RNA", at positions 359 to 795 of the family's 1533-position model. Lineage: Bacteria; Bacillati; Cyanobacteriota. The record is from RNAcentral.